CAUUAAUUUAAAUUUUUUUUUAUUUAAGUAGUGUAUAAUAUUAUUAUAAAUAUUUUUAUUUGAAACUUAAAAACSUUGGCGNUGUUAUAUAUCCAUUUAGGGGAGCUUGUUUAUUAAAUUGAUAAUCCUCAAUUAACACUUACUUUUUCUUGAAUGUAAACAGUUUGUAUAUUGCUGUCGACAGUUUAUUUCGUAAGAUUAUAAAAAACAUAAUAAUGUAGUGUAUUUGUAAGUCAAGUCAAAAUGCAGCUAAUGAAAAAGGUUAAAAAUGAGCUACAAUUUAUAAUAUUUAAUUGAAUUAAAAGAUGUAAAAAUUUAUGAAUUUGGACUUAAUAGUAAUGUAAUAAUUAGUAUGUUUACAUGAAUUUUUUUUUUUGGUUUUAUAACGCGU
This 391-nucleotide ribosomal RNA is filed under the name Ascarosepion papuense. RNAcentral describes it as "partial 12S ribosomal RNA". The record is from RNAcentral. Lineage: Eukaryota; Metazoa; Mollusca; Cephalopoda; Sepiida; Sepiidae.